RNAcentral lists this long non-coding RNA (1190 nucleotides) under Apteryx owenii (little spotted kiwi). RNAcentral describes it as "lncRNA (ENSAOWG00000017792.1)". The record is from RNAcentral. Lineage: Eukaryota; Metazoa; Chordata; Aves; Apterygiformes; Apterygidae.
UUCCACAAACAUGCUCCCACUCCCGACCUUUGAAGCGGGAGGGCCCAAAGCUAUAAACUCUCCGCAACCAGAGGCACGGAGAAAGCGAGCUGGCCCCGGAGGCGACCCAGGGCGAUAGGGCAAGGCGGCCGCGCCCACACUCCCAGCUCGCCGGAAGGGACACGGUGCCAGCGCCACCAGGACUGACACCUCACCUGCUCCUGCAGCCGGACCACCGCUGCACCCGCGGCCCCGACGCAGAAAGCACGCAGAGAUACCGACGGAUCCCGGUGCACAGGUGGCUGCAGGCACUCCCCCGUGCCUAAACAGUCUCCUUCCCACAGGCCCACUUGAGAAGCGACUCUUGCCGCACAAGUGGGCGCCAGCAACCUCUCCUUCUCCUCAAUCUACAUGAGRGGAGUGCCAGCGGGCGACCUAACGCCCCCGAGAGCCGCUCUCGCGCACCCACUGUUACGCGUUCAACGGCAGGCAGCCAGCGCCGCUCUCACCGCGCGAGGGCGGUGGGGGCACGCGGCGCGAGCAGGAACAGCGUCCCUUGACGCGCGGAAUUGGGCUGCCCCAGGGCAAAGAUGGGAGGACUGGGGCCGGGGUUUGAGACCCCCGCGCCGGCGGAAGGGGAUGAGCCACGAAGAGGGAGCUGCGAAGCAGCAAAAUCACCCACAGACACCGCUUACCCGCCUCCCCGGCCAGCCUGGGAGAGCCCGUGCACAUGCGCAGCGUUCCGCCCACCGCUGUCGGAGGUAAAGCCCGAGCUGGCGUUCCCUCGAGCAGGACUGGGACUCGGGGGGCGGGGCCGCCGCCAGCGGCGUCUGUGUCUGUGUCCCCGCGGCGCGUGCGGGCCUCGUGUUCCUCCGCGGAACCGAGCAGGGGAGCGAGGCGCCGCGCUGCUGUUGCCGCCCCAACAGCGCCUGCGCCGGGAGCUUUGCCCGCGGGCCAGUGCCAGGUGCAAAACGGCUUCCCCAUCCCCUUUUGGGGGACGYUGGGUUUUUACGCGUCACUUCCCAGGGCACUGUUCAGCGCGGCUGCAUCUGAAGGGCGAGGGUCCCCCAAGGCGGCACAGGGAGCCCUGCUGCCCCGCGCCAGCCGCGGCCCGAGUGCCUAGCAGUGCAGCGCAGGAUGUUCCUGAAUUUGUGUAUCAGCUGCAGCUUGCAUGUUUGCCUUGGGUGAUGCAUUCUUCUUUGUCAAGCUAG